RNAcentral lists this ribosomal RNA (456 nucleotides) under uncultured bacterium. Its description in RNAcentral is "partial 16S ribosomal RNA". It matches the Rfam family "Bacterial small subunit ribosomal RNA", at positions 341 to 795 of the family's 1533-position model. The record is from RNAcentral.
CCGGGAGGCAGCAGUGAGGAAUAUUGGUCAAUGGACGAGAGUCUGAACCAGCCAAGUAGCGUGAAGGAUGACUGACCUAUGGGUUGUAAACUUCUUUUAUAUGGGAAUAAAAUGUUCCACGUGUGGGAUUUUGUAUGUACCAUAUGAAUAAGGCUCGGCAAACUCCGUGCCAGCAGCCGCGGUAAUACGGAGGAUCCGAGGGUUAUCCGGAUUUAUUGGGGUUAAGGGGUGCGUAGGCGGAUCGUUAAGUCAGUGUGAAAAUUGAGGGGCGAAACCCCUUCCCGCCAUUGAAACUGGCGCACUUGAGUGGAAGAGAGGUAUGCGGAAUGCGUGGUGUAGCGGUGAAAUGCAUAGAUAUCACGCAGAACCCCGAUGGCGAAGGCAGCAUGCCGGCUUCCGACUGACGCUGAAGCACGAAAGCGUGGGGAUCGAACAGGAUUAGAUACCCUUGUAGUC